CUGGCUCAGGACGAACGCUGGCGGCGUGCUUCAUACAUGCAAGUCGAACGAGAAGCUGACUUCGGUCAGUGGAAAGUGGCGGACGGGUGAGUAAUAUGUAGGAAAUCUGCCCUAGAGAGGGGGACAACAGAGGGAAACUUCUGCUAAUACCCCAUAUGAGCUUAGUUGAAAUACUAAUCUUGAAAACUCCGGUGCUCUAGGAUGAGCCUGCAUCUGAUUAGCUAGUUGGCGGUGUAAUGGACCCCAAGGCGACGAUCAGUAGCUGGUUUGAGAGGAUGAUCAGCCACAAUGGGACUGAGACACGGCCCAUACUCCUACGGGAGGCAGCAGUAGGGAAUUUUGCGCAAUGGGCGAAAGCCCUGACGCAGCAACGCCGCGUGAACGAUUAAGCCCUUCGGGGUGUAAAGUUCUGUCAGUAGGGACGAAACUUGACGGUACCUACAGAGGAAGCACCGGCUAACUCCGUGCCAGCAGCCGC
Molecule: ribosomal RNA, 478 nt
Filed under: uncultured bacterium
Lineage: Bacteria
Description: bacterial SSU rRNA
Rfam family: Bacterial small subunit ribosomal RNA
Source: RNAcentral